This 31-nucleotide non-coding RNA is filed under the name Homo sapiens (human). The record is from RNAcentral. Lineage: Eukaryota; Metazoa; Chordata; Mammalia; Primates; Hominidae.
GACAUGAACGGUGUCAACACAGAGAUGAACA